This 334-nucleotide ribosomal RNA is filed under the name uncultured eukaryote. RNAcentral's name for it is "partial 18S ribosomal RNA". It matches the Rfam family "Eukaryotic small subunit ribosomal RNA", at positions 1470 to 1796 of the family's 1831-position model. The record is from RNAcentral.
CCCUUAGAUGUCCGGGGCCGCACGCGCGCUACACUGAAGGAAUCAGCGUGGCUUUCUCCCUGACCCGAAAGGGUUGGGAAACCCGUUGAAUCUCCUUCGUGAUAGGGAUUGGGGCUUGAAAUUGUUCCCCAUGAACGAGGAAUUCCCAGUAAGCGCGAGUCAUCAGCUUGCGUUGAUUACGUCCCUGCCCUUUGUACACACCGCCCGUCGCUACUACCGAUUGAAUGGUUUAGUGAGAUCCUUGGAUCGGCCCUGUCGCGGCUGGCAACGGCCGCGUCGGCGCGUCGAGAAGACGAUCAAACUUGAUCAUUUAGAGGAAGUAAAAGUCGUAACA